UACCAGCACCCCGAGUGGUCGGGACGAUUAUUGGGCCUAAAGCAUCCGUAGCCGGUCCUGCAAGUCUUCCGUUAAAUCCAGCUGCUCAACAGAUGGGCUGCGGGGGAUACUACAGGGCUAGGAGGCGGGAGAGGCAAGCGGUACUUUAUGGGUAGGGGUAAAACCCGUUGAUCCAUAGAAGACCACCAGUGGCGAAGGCGGCUUGCCAGAACGCGCUCGACGGUGAGGGAUGAAAGCUGGGGGAGCAAACCGG
Molecule: ribosomal RNA, 253 nt
Filed under: uncultured bacterium
Lineage: Bacteria
Description: partial 16S ribosomal RNA
Rfam family: Archaeal small subunit ribosomal RNA
Source: RNAcentral